Molecule: long non-coding RNA, 543 nt
Organism: Pseudophryne corroboree (corroboree frog)
Lineage: Eukaryota; Metazoa; Chordata; Amphibia; Anura; Myobatrachidae
Exons: 3
Source: RefSeq, a predicted model, not a curated record
GCGGAUCGACUAUUCAUUCUUUACUCCAGACUGUUUCCAUCUUACCAUUAAAGGUCAUGAGCAGAUGGCAACAGGCCUGUGGAACAACAUGCUACAACCGUAUGGAGAAAAAACUCAGCUGGACUCAUUUUCUGAGGAGGUGAAGCUCCUAUGUCCCUCUGAGGAUCAUCCAUAUAUUUACACCAAGACACCAGAGAGCCCGUCUGCUGCAUCUUGGACACUCAGAGGAUCCGGUCUGCUCAACACCUUCCUCCUCCUUGCUGUGCUCCUAUGUGCCUCCCCCUGAGCAAGACACAGGAAGAAUGCUUGGCGGAGAGACGUUUGAGUGUGUUACUGAUGGAAAUUGUGUAGGGAAAUUGCCUCCGUUGUUACAAUUGGGGCAGUAUGUGAUAAGAGCUUUGGACUUUGGUUUAUACACCACUCUCUCCUGACUGCCGUGCCGUCAUCUUGCCUUUGGGAGUGAUUGGGAGAGCACAGAUGGAACAUAAAUGAAAAAAUUGGGAAAAAUAAAUAAAAUACAGCAAAGUGUUAUUUUUUAAAUCA